RNAcentral lists this long non-coding RNA (671 nucleotides) under Fukomys damarensis (Damara mole-rat). RNAcentral's name for it is "lncRNA (ENSFDAG00000022842.1)". Lineage: Eukaryota; Metazoa; Chordata; Mammalia; Rodentia; Bathyergidae. The record is from RNAcentral.
UGCUAGUAAAGGUGGGGGCCUAGAGUUUAGAGGAACAAGUCUGCUUGGCCGAAAGCAUUUAGCUCCAAAUGAUCUGUUCCAAAGUCCUCCUGUCUUCCAUUGCUCAACCUGCCUUCCGCCCUUUGCUUAUUGAUUUACAGUGUGCAGUGAGCAGAUCCUGACUAACUCAGGAAGCAGGACAAUGAUUCCUGCUGUGAUCUGCCUAAUUCAAUUACUAAGUACCCCGGAAGAUCAAGAAUUUGUGCUGUAGCUGAGAGGAAAGGUUUGCUUUGGGACCUGGUGCCACCUGCUGGUUGGUCCAUGGAACUGGUGAUGUAAUUGGUUCUUCCUGAACCCGCCAUCGCUGAAAUCCGGAAGAGGUCAUGCAGGACUUCUCUGAAAACAGGAGCCACAGCAAGAACUUUUCCCUCUGGCCCAUUCUUUCCUACCUCUAGCCUCCAAAAUCGGUGUCCGGUCAGUGGGAGCCACAUCCUGGCCCUUCCGCUCCAGCUCUUCCUCUUCCUACCGUUAACUCUAGAGAGACAGUAAGUCCCCAACGCAGUACCCAGCAAUCCCUUCCAAUGAGAGGAAGAAGUUCCGAGUGAGGUGCUCAACUGUUCUGCAGCGUGAAUGACAAUGAAGUUGGCCAGGCUAUAGGGACAGAUGGGGACACUUGCAGACGGGUUUCAGGU